CUUUCUAUGCAGGUUGGGAUCAGUUGCAAUGCUUUGUUUGUCUACAGUAUUGCGCUUGUUCCGGCCUGUUGAG
RNAcentral lists this microRNA precursor (73 nucleotides) under Ornithorhynchus anatinus (platypus). RNAcentral describes it as "microRNA oan-mir-92d precursor". Its record names the gene oan-mir-92d. It matches the Rfam family "mir-92 microRNA precursor family". Rfam says of the family: This family represents the microRNA precursor mir-92. Human miR-92 has two predicted hairpin precursor sequences: mir-92-1 on chromosome 13 and mir-92-2 on chromosome X. miR-92 has also been cloned from mouse embryonic stem cells. The record is from miRBase by way of RNAcentral. Lineage: Eukaryota; Metazoa; Chordata; Mammalia; Monotremata; Ornithorhynchidae.